CUACGGGUGGCUCCAGUGGGGAAUAUUGCACAAUGGAGGAAACUCUGAUGCAGCAACGCCGCGUGGAGGAUGACACUUUUCGGAGCGUAAACUCCUUUUAUAUAGGAAGAAGAUGACGGUACUAUAUGAAUAAGCGCCGGCUAACUCCGUGCCAGCAGCCGCGGUAAUACGGAGGGCGCAAGCGUUACUCGGAAUCACUGGGCGUAAAGGGCGUGUAGGCGGAUUAAAAAGUCAGAAGUGAAAUCCUAUAGCUUAACUAUAGAACUGCUUCUGAAACUCUUAAUCUAGAAUAUGGGAGAGGUAGAUGGAAUUCCUGGUGUAGGGGUAAAAUCCGUAGAGAUCAGAAGGAAUACCGAUUGCGAAGGCGAUCUACUAGAACAUUAUUGACGCUGAGACGCGAAAGCGUGGGGAGCAAACAGGAUUAGAUACCCUCGUAGUC
This 439-nucleotide ribosomal RNA is filed under the name uncultured bacterium. RNAcentral describes it as "partial 16S ribosomal RNA". It matches the Rfam family "Bacterial small subunit ribosomal RNA", at positions 339 to 795 of the family's 1533-position model. The record is from RNAcentral.